This 472-nucleotide ribosomal RNA is filed under the name Starmerella bombicola. Its description in RNAcentral is "partial large subunit ribosomal RNA". It matches the Rfam family "Eukaryotic large subunit ribosomal RNA", at positions 49 to 546 of the family's 3401-position model. Lineage: Eukaryota; Fungi; Ascomycota; Dipodascomycetes; Dipodascales; Trichomonascaceae. The record is from RNAcentral.
AGCGGAGGAAAAGAAACCAACAGGGAUUGCCUUAGUAACGGCGAGUGAACAGGCAAGAGCUCAGAUUUGAAAGCCUUUCGGGGCAUUGUAUUCUGAAGCCUUGAUUCUGAGAACCGGUACCUAAGUCUUCUGGAAAGGAGCGCCAAGGAGGGUGAUAGCCCCGUACGGUACUGACCUCAUUGUAGAAUCUUGGCGUGGAGUCGAGUUGUUUGGGAAUGCAGCUCAAAUGGGUGGUAUGCUCCAUCUAAAGCUAAAUAUCUGCGAGAGACCGAUAGCGAACAAGUACUGUGAAGGAAAGAUGAAAAGAACUUUGAAAAGAGAGUGAAAAAGUACGUGAAAUUGUUGAAAUGGAAGGAUAGGCCGCUAACCACGUAGAGCCGUGUCUGAGGGGAGGAUAAAAGCUGUAGAAUGUGGCUCUUCGGAGUGUUAUAGCUGCAGUGCAUACUCCCACUCGGGCGCGAGGACCUAAGGC